RNAcentral lists this ribosomal RNA (356 nucleotides) under uncultured bacterium. RNAcentral's name for it is "bacterial SSU rRNA". It matches the Rfam family "Bacterial small subunit ribosomal RNA", at positions 43 to 416 of the family's 1533-position model. The record is from RNAcentral.
UCAGGCCUAACACAUGCAAGUCGAACGGGAGUAGCAAUACUCUAGUGGCGGACGGGUGAGUAACACAUAGGAAUCUGCCAUACAGAGGGGGAUAGCCCGAAGAAAUUCGGAUUAAUACCGCAUAUAAUCUAAGGAUGAAAGGUGGCGCAAGCUAUCGCUGUAAGAUGAGCCUAUGUCCGAUUAGCUAGUUGGUAGGGUAAGAGCCUACCAAGGCGACGAUCGGUAACUGGUCUGAGAGGACGACCAGUCACACUGGGACUGAGACACGGCCCAGACUCCUACGGGAGGCAGCAGUGGGGAAUAUUGGACAAUGGGGGAAACCCUGAUCCAGAAAGGCCGCGUGGGUGAAGAAGGCC